UGUUGUCGUCGUUCGUUGUCGUUGUUUGUUGUCAUCGCAUCAGUACGACGUCAUAUUGCGUAGUAAAGACACUUCUCAGUGGAAACGCACGCCUGACCCAGGACUGUACUGUACUGAACCAGACCAGAGGGGUAUUCCAGAAAGCAGGUUCAACACACUCUGAGUCUAUCCCUGAACUCUGAGUUGACUUACUCUGAGUCGGGAAACUCUGAGUAUCCGGUUCCAGAACAGCUGAUCAGAGUUAGUUCAAUCAACUCUGAGUAUGUUAACCUCGAGGUACGCGCGUGCACAACCACUAUAAAAAGCCAUCAUCAAUGGAGCCCCGAUACCACGAGUCACCAUGACAACCGAGAAAAAAAAAAAAAUCAACUUAUUUCAGUGAGAAGGAGUUGGAGAUCCUUUUGCUGGGCUACGGAGAAUAUGAGCACAUAUUUCGCCGCGAAUGCAACACAGCUGCAGCAGCGAAGGAGAGAGAGACCGCAUGGGAGAAAAUUACUGCCCGAGUCAACGCGUGCAAUCCAACAGGAGAAAGGAGGACUUGGAAGCAGCUCAAAAUGAAACAUAAAAACAUCAUUCAAAAAGCCAACAGAAAGAAGGCAGAGCCCCGAAAAACGGGUGGAGGGCCACCUCCACCACCUCUGACAGAGGCUGAGGAGCUGGCUCUCAGCCAAUACAGGGGUCGCCCUGUGGCUGAAGGCAUCCCCGGGGGAAGCUCAUCUGAGCCUGUCACCCCCCAGGACACAAG
This is a long non-coding RNA of Solea solea (common sole), 745 nucleotides long. RefSeq lists it as uncharacterized. The record is from RefSeq and is a predicted model, not a curated record. The transcript is spliced from 3 exons. NCBI's taxonomy places the organism in Eukaryota, Metazoa, Chordata, Actinopteri, Pleuronectiformes, Soleidae.